RNAcentral lists this ribosomal RNA (368 nucleotides) under uncultured organism. Its description in RNAcentral is "bacterial LSU rRNA". It matches the Rfam family "Bacterial large subunit ribosomal RNA", at positions 2099 to 2465 of the family's 2925-position model. The record is from RNAcentral.
CUUUACUGUAGCCUGGUAUUGGGUUCGGGCUUUGACUGCGCAGGAUAGGUGGGAGACUAUGAAGCAAUCCUUGUGGGGGUUGCUGAGUCAACGGUGAGAUACCACUCUGUCAGAGCUAGAAUUCUAACUAAAUGCCGUUAUCCGGCUUUGGAACCGUAUCAGGUGGGCAGUUUGACUGGGGCGGUCGCCUCCUAAAAGGUAACGGAGGCGCGCAAAGGUUCCCUCCGGCUGGUUGGAAAUCAGCCCGUGAAGUGCAAAGGCAUAAGGGAGCUUGACUGCGAGACAAACACGUCGAGCAGGGUGGAAACACGGCCUUAGUGAUCCGACGGCGCUGAGUGGAAGGGCCGUCGCUAAACGGAUAAAAGUUA